GGAAUAUUGGACAAUGGGCGAAAGCCUGAUCCAGCCAUGCCGCGUGUGUGAAGAAGGUCUUCGGAUUGUAAAGCACUUUAAGUUGGGAGGAAGGGCAGUAACUUAAUACGUUGCUGUUUUGACGUUACCGACAGAAUAAGCACCGGCUAACUCUGUGCCAGCAGCCGCGGUAAUACAGAGGGUGCAAGCGUUAAUCGGAAUUACUGGGCGUAAAGCGCGCGUAGGUGGUUUGUUAAGUUGGAUGUGAAAUCCCCGGGCUCAACCUGGGAACUGCAUUCAAAACUGACAAGCUAGAGUAUGGUAGAGGGUGGUGGAAUUUCCUGUGUAGCGGUGAAAUGCGUAGAUAUAGGAAGGAACACCAGUGGCGAAGGCGACCACCUGGACUGAUACUGACACUGAGGUGCGAAAGCGUGGGGAGCAAACAGGAUUAGAUACCCUUG
RNAcentral lists this ribosomal RNA (440 nucleotides) under uncultured Pseudomonas sp. RNAcentral's name for it is "bacterial SSU rRNA". It matches the Rfam family "Bacterial small subunit ribosomal RNA", at positions 358 to 790 of the family's 1533-position model. The record is from RNAcentral. Lineage: Bacteria; Pseudomonadati; Pseudomonadota; Gammaproteobacteria; Pseudomonadales; Pseudomonadaceae.